RNAcentral lists this ribosomal RNA (253 nucleotides) under uncultured bacterium. Its description in RNAcentral is "partial 16S ribosomal RNA". It matches the Rfam family "Bacterial small subunit ribosomal RNA", at positions 524 to 776 of the family's 1533-position model. The record is from RNAcentral.
UACGUAGGAGGCAAGCGUUGUCCGGAAUUACUGGGCGUAAAGAGCGUGUAGGCGGCAUGAGAAGUCUGCUGUGAAAGCUCUCGGCUUAACCGGGAGAGGUCGGCAGAAACUCUCAAGCUAGAGGACGGUAGAGGGGGGUGGAAUUCCCGGUGUAGUGGUGAAAUGCGUAGAUAUCGGGAGGAACACCAGAGGCGAAGGCGGCCCCCUGGGCCGCUCCUGACGCUGAGACGCGAAGGCCAGGGUAGCGAACGGG